AAAAAAGAUAAUGUCCAGGAAUCGGGAUGAGUUUAUCAAGAGAAAAAAAUAAAAAAUAAAAUAAGGAUGACGAAGUAAGUACAAGACCACCCGCCUCACUCCCUGCAUGGAUAGUGUGUUGCUAAGUCGCUGUGAGGACUCAAUCAGUGCUACCCGGCAAUUAAGAUCUCACAGAUCAAAGCCGUCUAAAUGAGCUAAUCCCUCAGAGAGCUGCUGCUCUCUUCUCCUCCGUCUAGCUCUCUGUUUCCCCCUCCAUCUCGCCCUCACCCUGGUUACUUCCUCAAGACUUGUGGCUCCGUGGGCUGACUGCGCUUUGAUGCUUGACAGCGCUGAAUGCAGCCCAGAGCCAGGAUCAGGUGUCAUGAAACCUAAAUUGUACUGCACUAGCACGCCAUAAAGGAUAGAGACAGUAGGCCCGCCAACAUUACAACUGUCUUGAGCACGGCGGCUUUACAGCGGCUCCUGAAUGCUGAGGGGGAUUAAAUGUUCAUUUUUUUUUGUCACAAUAUGACUGUUCCAAAAGAUGCUCGUCUCUGUCAAAAAAGCUCUUUAGACUCAUAGACAGUGUCAUUUAAUGAGAGGCACUUACAGUGGACUCUAACACAAUUCGGUGUUUGAUGACAACCUUGUUAGGAAAAUUGAAUCUCUCAAAUGAAAUUGGUCUCGGUGAUCAGUGUGUCACCCGGUGGGAUUCAUUUCGAAUCGUUGACCCUUCGUGAAUUAAAGCUCAUCUUCUGAACGGCGCCGCUUCUCAGAGGCUCGCGCAGCAGGAUGCAGGCUUCCAACCGCACCAGCUCUGCAAAAAACCUUCCCCUCUUUCCAUUUGAUUCAAGGAUUAGAUUUGAUUACAGACUUGAGCUGGACAACCUCUGCGACAGCCG
Molecule: long non-coding RNA, 881 nt
Organism: Gasterosteus aculeatus aculeatus (three-spined stickleback)
Lineage: Eukaryota; Metazoa; Chordata; Actinopteri; Perciformes; Gasterosteidae
Source: Ensembl